Erigeron canadensis is the source of this 1463-nucleotide long non-coding RNA. RefSeq lists it as uncharacterized. NCBI's taxonomy places the organism in Eukaryota, Viridiplantae, Streptophyta, Magnoliopsida, Asterales, Asteraceae. The record is from RefSeq and is a predicted model, not a curated record. The transcript has 6 exons.
CAUUAGCUGGCCAUUUGUUUUGGGUCGUCGGAUAUUGUUGCCUCCAUGCAACUUUUUCAGGCAAUACUUUAUAUGGGCUGUAUGUUUUGGGCCGUAUUUAGUUGAGGCCUUUUUGACACACCCGUGCCGUGAUAGACGGUGACAUGUGCCGUCGAUUGACCUCCACAAUCAGCACCUGAAGAUGCUUUUCCGACCACUCCUAAGGUAAAUUCACUUACAACUCGAUCUUGACCCCUCUUCCUUGAUGAUAAGCCAAGUUGGAUAAUACAAACUCUGCUUGAGAACCUUUUUAGUGUCUUGAAUCUUGAAGGUUUGGGUCACGUUCUGUGGUUUCAUUGCACCCCGGAACAGUCAGUUUUUUUGGCAACCCAAACCACUGGACUAACAGAGAUACUCAGAUUCUGUGAAAAUAAUGGGAAUGCAGCAGAAGAAAUGUGCCUCCACUUUCCAGUUCUAUUUUCCCAAUUUGAACUCUGGUUAUUCAGCUUUUGUUGAUUAUGUUUGAAGGUUUGCAAAAGGAAGGAGUAGUUUGUCACCAGUGAACUUACAUGCCCGGUAAGAUUAUUGUAGUGCUCAGGAUCAGCGAAUCCUCUGUUUUUCUUCCCACUCACAAUCUCCAAAACCAAAACGCCAAAGCUAAAUACAUCUGACUUCAUUGAGAAAAGACCAUCUCGUGCAUACUCCGGGGGCAUGUAACCACUGCACGCAGCAUAUUGUAUAUAAGAAAAAACUAAUGAAUGGAAGAUUAAUAGAAUGACUAGUUAGUUACUUUGGCUUACUAUGUGCCAGCAACUCUUUGGGUAUUUGCUUGGGACUCAUUUCCUCCAAAACUUCUAGCUAAGCCAAAGUCUGAUAUCUUAGGGUUCAUGUCUCGAUCUAGUAAAAUGUUGCCGGCUUUAAGAUCUCUGUGUAUAAUUCUAAGCCGUGAAUCGUGAUGAAGAUAUAGAAGUCCUCGAGCAAUUCCUUUGAUGAUGUUGAAGCGUUUCGUCCAAUCAAGCCAAGGAGCUUUACAAGAUUUCGGUGUUGAAGUUUUGAAAUGCAAAUGACUUCAUUCUUGAACUCAUUAACUCCUUGGUUGGAAGUCUUUGAGAGGCGCUUAACUGCAAUUUCUUGCCCUUCCUCUAGCACACCCUGAAUAUCAACAUUUGCAAUCUGAGUAAUUUCACAAACUUCAGAGACUGGUCCAAAUCCACCCUCUCCGAGUUUAUUAUCAUCUGAAAAACUGGCAGUGGCUGCUGCUAUCGUAGAGAAGCUAAAGAAUGGCACAUGAAUGUCUUCUUCCUGGCCUUUUCCUAGUGGUCCCACAUAAUUCCUUUUUUUCCGUGCGUACCACAACCACGUAGAAAUGACCCCUAUGAGGAAAACCCCCGGGAAGAUUACAAGUAAUAUGAUUUUAAUGUUUGGUGACUUUGGUCCUUUCCUUUUGAAAGCCGGUUGAGCAGCUGUAUAAUAUGAUAUUAACA